Erinaceus europaeus (western European hedgehog) is the source of this 332-nucleotide unclassified non-coding RNA. Its record names the gene 7SK. It matches the Rfam family "7SK RNA". Rfam says of the family: 7SK was discovered as an abundant small nuclear RNA in the mid-70s but a possible function has only recently been suggested. Two independent studies have found that 7SK RNA binds the CDK9/cyclin T complex (known as elongation factor P-TEFb). P-TEFb activates transcription by phosphorylating the C-terminal domain of RNA polymerase II. NCBI's taxonomy places the organism in Eukaryota, Metazoa, Chordata, Mammalia, Eulipotyphla, Erinaceidae. The record is from Ensembl.
GGAUGUGAGGGCGAUCUGGCUGAGACAUCUGUCACCCCAUUGAUGGCCAGGAUUGAUUUGGCUGAUCUGGCUGGCUAGGCGGGUGUCCCCUUCCUCCCUCAUCGCUCCAUGUGUGUCCCUCUGGAAGCUGCACGCUCAGUUGAAGAGGACGGCAUUCCUGGACGACCUUCCCGGAAUAGAGAUGGACUGGUCUUUGGUUGAGGGUAUAGGAGUAACUGUGCUUCUCUACUAGAAUCUCAAAACAAGCUCUCUAUCCAAUAAAUGAAUAAAGAUAAUAAAGAAAAAAAUAUAAAAAUCUGAUAAGCUUGUAGUCAAACUAUUGAACUAUUAUU